RNAcentral lists this ribosomal RNA (2758 nucleotides) under Klebsiella pneumoniae. RNAcentral describes it as "partial 23S ribosomal RNA". It matches the Rfam family "Bacterial large subunit ribosomal RNA". Lineage: Bacteria; Pseudomonadati; Pseudomonadota; Gammaproteobacteria; Enterobacterales; Enterobacteriaceae. RNAcentral also lists the same sequence under 1 other name. The record is from RNAcentral.
CACUAUCGUUAACUGAAUACAUAGGUUAACGAGGCGAACCGGGGGAACUGAAACAUCUAAGUACCCCGAGGAAAAGAAAUCAACCGAGAUUCCCCCAGUAGCGGCGAGCGAACGGGGAGCAGCCCAGAGUCUGAAUCAGCUUGUGUGUUAGUGGAACGGUCUGGAAAGUCCGACGGUACAGGGUGAUAGUCCCGUACACCAAAAUGCACAGGCUGUGAACUCGAAGAGUAGGGCGGGACACGUGGUAUCCUGUCUGAAUAUGGGGGGACCAUCCUCCAAGGCUAAAUACUCCUGACUGACCGAUAGUGAACCAGUACCGUGAGGGAAAGGCGAAAAGAACCCCGGCGAGGGGAGUGAAAAAGAACCUGAAACCGUGUACGUACAAGCAGUGGGAGCACCUUCGGGUGUGACUGCGUACCUUUUGUAUAAUGGGUCAGCGACUUAUAUUCUGUAGCAAGGUUAACCGUAUAGGGGAGCCGCAGGGAAACCGAGUCUUAACUGGGCGUUAAGUUGCAGGGUAUAGACCCGAAACCCGGUGAUCUAGCCAUGGGCAGGUUGAAGGUUGGGUAACACUAACUGGAGGACCGAACCGACUAAUGUUGAAAAAUUAGCGGAUGACUUGUGGCUGGGGGUGAAAGGCCAAUCAAACCGGGAGAUAGCUGGUUCUCCCCGAAAGCUAUUUAGGUAGCGCCUCGUGAAUUCAUCUUCGGGGGUAGAGCACUGUUUCGGCUAGGGGGUCAUCCCGACUUACCAACCCGAUGCAAACUACGAAUACCGAAGAAUGUUAUCACGGGAGACACACGGCGGGUGCUAACGUCCGUCGUGAAGAGGGAAACAACCCAGACCGCCAGCUAAGGUCCCAAAGUCAUGGUUAAGUGGGAAACGAUGUGGGAAGGCACAGACAGCCAGGAUGUUGGCUUAGAAGCAGCCAUCAUUUAAAGAAAGCGUAAUAGCUCACUGGUCGAGUCGGCCUGCGCGGAAGAUGUAACGGGGCUAAACCAUGCACCGAAGCUGCGGCAGCGACACUAUGUGUUGUUGGGUAGGGGAGCGUUCUGUAAGCCUGCGAAGGUGUGCUGUGAGGCAUGCUGGAGGUAUCAGAAGUGCGAAUGCUGACAUAAGUAACGAUAAAGCGGGUGAAAAGCCCGCUCGCCGGAAGACCAAGGGUUCCUGUCCAACGUUAAUCGGGGCAGGGUGAGUCGACCCCUAAGGCGAGGCCGAAAGGCGUAGUCGAUGGGAAACAGGUUAAUAUUCCUGUACUUGGUGUUACUGCGAAGGGGGGACGGAGAAGGCUAUGUUAGCCGGGCGACGGUUGUCCCGGUUUAAGCAUGUAGGCUGGUUGUCCAGGCAAAUCCGGAUAAUCAAGGCUGAGGUGUGAUGACGAGGCACUACGGUGCUGAAGUAACAAAUGCCCUGCUUCCAGGAAAAGCCUCUAAGCAUCAGGUAACAUUAAAUCGUACCCCAAACCGACACAGGUGGUCAGGUAGAGAAUACCAAGGCGCUUGAGAGAACUCGGGUGAAGGAACUAGGCAAAAUGGUGCCGUAACUUCGGGAGAAGGCACGCUGGUGUGUAGGUGAAGUCCCUGCGGAUGGAGCUGAGACCAGUCGAAGAUACCAGCUGGCUGCAACUGUUUAUUAAAAACACAGCACUGUGCAAACACGAAAGUGGACGUAUACGGUGUGACGCCUGCCCGGUGCCGGAAGGUUAAUUGAUGGGGUUAUCCGUAAGGAGAAGCUCUUGAUCGAAGCCCCGGUAAACGGCGGCCGUAACUAUAACGGUCCUAAGGUAGCGAAAUUCCUUGUCGGGUAAGUUCCGACCUGCACGAAUGGCGUAAUGAUGGCCAGGCUGUCUCCACCCGAGACUCAGUGAAAUUGAACUCGCUGUGAAGAUGCAGUGUACCCGCGGCAAGACGGAAAGACCCCGUGAACCUUUACUAUAGCUUGACACUGAACAUUGAGCCUUGAUGUGUAGGAUAGGUGGGAGGCUUUGAAGCGUGGACGCCAGUCUGCGUGGAGCCAACCUUGAAAUACCACCCUUUAAUGUUUGAUGUUCUAACGUUGGCCCCUUACCGGGGUUGCGGACAGUGUCUGGUGGGUAGUUUGACUGGGGCGGUCUCCUCCCAAAGCGUAACGGAGGAGCACGAAGGUUAGCUAAUCCUGGUCGGACAUCAGGAGGUUAGUGCAAUGGCAUAAGCUAGCUUGACUGCGAGCGUGACGGCGCGAGCAGGUGCGAAAGCAGGUCAUAGUGAUCCGGUGGUUCUGAAUGGAAGGGCCAUCGCUCAACGGAUAAAAGGUACUCCGGGGAUAACAGGCUGAUACCGCCCAAGAGUUCAUAUCGACGGCGGUGUUUGGCACCUCGAUGUCGGCUCAUCACAUCCUGGGGCUGAAGUAGGUCCCAAGGGUAUGGCUGUUCGCCAUUUAAAGUGGUACGCGAGCUGGGUUUAGAACGUCGUGAGACAGUUCGGUCCCUAUCUGCCGUGGGCGCUGGAGAAUUGAGGGGGGCUGCUCCUAGUACGAGAGGACCGGAGUGGACGCAUCACUGGUGUUCGGGUUGUCAUGCCAAUGGCACUGCCCGGUAGCUAAAUGCGGAAGAGAUAAGUGCUGAAAGCAUCUAAGCACGAAACUUGCCCCGAGAUGAGUUCUCCCUGAGACUUUAAGUCUCCUGAAGGAACGUUAAAGACGAUGACGUUGAUAGGCCGGGUGUGUAAGCGCAGCGAUGCGUUGAGCUAACCGGUACUAAUGAACCGUGAGGCUUAACCUU